CUUUGAGGCCUUCAUAGCUUUGGCUUCCAUGGUUACUGGCAUUGGUUGGUGGUCAGUUCAGUAGGAAGUUACAGUGGAGGUUACGUUCAUUUGGGAGUUGCAAGAGCAGCUAGGGUUCUUUUGUGUUUUGAAAGAGAUAGCAUCCCAGGUUAAGAAUUUAAGUCGAGUCUUGAGUUGAAUCCUCAAGCUGUUAGGGUUUUAAUUAGACUUGGGCCUAAGUUUGUGACUGUAUCUUUUUAUUUAAUUGGGGGCUUUUAAGUCGUUGAAUUUGG
This 272-nucleotide unclassified non-coding RNA is filed under the name Hevea brasiliensis (rubber tree). Lineage: Eukaryota; Viridiplantae; Streptophyta; Magnoliopsida; Malpighiales; Euphorbiaceae. The record is from RNAcentral.